This 497-nucleotide ribosomal RNA is filed under the name uncultured bacterium. Its description in RNAcentral is "partial 16S ribosomal RNA". It matches the Rfam family "Bacterial small subunit ribosomal RNA", at positions 28 to 507 of the family's 1533-position model. The record is from RNAcentral.
GAUGAACGCUGGCGGCGUGCCUAAUACAUGCAAGUCGAGCGAGCAGACGAGGAGCUUGCUCCUCUGACGUUAGCGGCGGACAGGUGAGUAACACGUGGAUAACCUACCUAUAAGACUGGGAUAACUUCGGGAAACCGGAGCUAAUACCGGAUAAUAUAUUGAACCGCAUGGUUCAAUAGUGAAAGACGGUUUUGCUGUCACUUAUAGAUGGAUCCGCGCCGCAUUAGCUAGUUGGUAAGGUAACGGCUUACCAAGGCAACGAUGCGUAGCCGACCUGAGAGGGUGAUCGGCCACACUGGAACUGAGACACGGUCCAGACUCCUACGGGAGGCAGCAGUAGGGAAUCUUCCGCAAUGGGCGAAAGCCUGACGGAGCAACGCCGCGUGAGUGAUGAAGGUCUUCGGAUCGUAAAACUCUGUUAUUAGGGAAGAACAAAUGUGUAAGUAACUAUGCACGUCUUGACGGUACCUAAUCAGAAAGCCACGGCUAACUACGUG